GAUGAACGCUAGCGACAGGCUUAACACAUGCAAGUCGAGGGGCAGCAAUUUGUAGCAAUACAAAGUUGGCGACCGGCGCACGGGUGAGUAACGCGUAUGCAACCUACCUACAACAGAAGAAUAAUCCGGCGAAAGUCGGUCUAAUACUUCAUAAAACAGGGACAUCGCAUGAUGUUAUUUGUUAAAGAUUUAUCGGUUGUAGAUGGGCAUGCGUACCAUUAGGUAGUUGGUGAGGUAACGGCCCACCAAGCCUACGAUGGUUAGGGGUUCUGAGAGGAAAGUCCCCCACACUGGUACUGAGACACGGACCAGACUCCUACGGGAGGCAGCAGUGAGGAAUAUUGGUCAAUGGGCGAGAGCCUGAACCAGCCAAGUCGCGUGAAGGAUGACGGCCCUAUGGGUUGUAAACUUCUUUUGCAGGGGAAUAAAGAUAUUCACGUGUGGGUAGUUGUAUGUACCCUGCGAAUAAGCAUCGGCUAACUCCGUGCCAGCAGCCGCGGUAAUACGGAGGAUGCGAGCGUUAUCCGGAUUUAUUGGGUUUAAAGGGUGCGUAGGUGGACUAUUAAGUCAGUGGUGAAAGUUUGUCGCUCAACGAUAAAAUUGCCGUUGAAACUGGUGGUCUUGAGUAUGGAUGAAGUAGGCGGAAUGCGUGGUGUAGCGGUGAAAUGCAUAGAGAUCACGCAGAACUCCGAUUGCGAAGGCAGCUUACUAAGGCAUAACUGACACUGAAGCACGAAAGCGUGGGUAUCAAACAGG
This 756-nucleotide ribosomal RNA is filed under the name uncultured Tannerella sp. RNAcentral describes it as "bacterial SSU rRNA". It matches the Rfam family "Bacterial small subunit ribosomal RNA", at positions 28 to 776 of the family's 1533-position model. The record is from RNAcentral. Lineage: Bacteria; Pseudomonadati; Bacteroidota; Bacteroidia; Bacteroidales; Tannerellaceae.